RNAcentral lists this ribosomal RNA (253 nucleotides) under uncultured bacterium. Its description in RNAcentral is "partial 16S ribosomal RNA". It matches the Rfam family "Bacterial small subunit ribosomal RNA", at positions 524 to 776 of the family's 1533-position model. The record is from RNAcentral.
UACGUAGGGGGCUAGCGUUGUCCGGAAUUAUUGGGCGUAAAGAGCUCGUAGGCGGUUUGUCGCGUCUGCUGUGAAAACUCGGGGCUUAACUCCGGGCCUGCAGUGGGUACGGGCAGACUAGAGUGCGGUAGGGGAGACUGGAAUUCCUGGUGUAGCGGUGAAAUGCGCAGAUAUCAGGAGGAACACCGGUGGCGAAGGCGGGUCUCUGGGCCACUACUGACGCUGAGAAGCGAAAGCAUGGGGAGCGAACAGG